AACCUCCGCAAUGUGAGAAAUCGCGACGGGGGGAUCCCAAGUGCCAUUCUUAACGGGAUGGCUUUUCAUUAGUGUAAAGAGCUUUUGGAAUAAGGGCUGGGCAAGACCGGUGCCAGCCGCCGCGGUAACACCGGCAGCUCUAGUGGUAGCAGUUUUUAUUGGGCCUAAAGCGUCCGUAGCCGGUUUAAUAAGUCUCUGGUGAAAUCCUGUAGCUUAACUGUGGGAAUUGCUAGAGAUACUAUUAGACUUGAGACCGGGAGAGGUUAGAGGUACUCCCAGGGUAGAGGUGAAAUUCUGUAAUCCUGGGAGGACCGCCUGUUGCGAAGGCGUCUAACUGGAACGGUUCUGACGGUGAGGGACGAAAGUUAGGGGCGCGAACCGGAUUAGAUACCCGGGUAGUCCUAACCGUAAACGAUGCGGACUUGGUGUUGGGGUGGCUUUGAGCUGCUCCAGUGCCGAAGGGAAGCUGUUAAGUCCGCCGCCUGGGAAGUACGGUCGCAAGACUGAAACUUAAAGGUAUA
This 521-nucleotide ribosomal RNA is filed under the name uncultured bacterium. RNAcentral's name for it is "bacterial SSU rRNA". It matches the Rfam family "Archaeal small subunit ribosomal RNA", at positions 345 to 866 of the family's 1478-position model. The record is from RNAcentral.